AUUGAACGCUGGCGGCAUGCCUUACACAUGCAAGUCGAACGGCAGCACGGGAGCAAUCCUGGUGGCGAGUGGCGAACGGGUGAGUAAUACAUCGGAACGUGCCCGGUAGUGGGGGAUAACCCGGCGAAAGCCGGACUAAUACCGCAUACGACCUGAGGGUGAAAGCGGGGGAUCGCAAGACCUUGCGCUAUUGGAGCGGCCGAUGUCAGAUUAGCUAGUUGGUGGGGUAAAGGCCACCAAGGCGACGAUCUGUAGCUGGUCUAAGAGGACGACCAGCCACACUGGGACUGAGACACGGCCCAGACUCCUACGGGAGGCAGCAGUGGGGAAUUUUGGACAAUGGGCGAAAGCCUGAUCCAGCAAUGCCGCGUGAGUGAAGAAGGCCUCGG
RNAcentral lists this ribosomal RNA (389 nucleotides) under uncultured bacterium. Its description in RNAcentral is "bacterial SSU rRNA". It matches the Rfam family "Bacterial small subunit ribosomal RNA", at positions 29 to 420 of the family's 1533-position model. The record is from RNAcentral.